This 468-nucleotide ribosomal RNA is filed under the name uncultured bacterium. RNAcentral's name for it is "partial 16S ribosomal RNA". It matches the Rfam family "Bacterial small subunit ribosomal RNA", at positions 28 to 507 of the family's 1533-position model. The record is from RNAcentral.
GAUGAACGCUGGCGGCGUGCUUAACACAUGCAAGUCGAACGGUGAAGGCGGAGCUUGCUCUGCUGGAUCAGUGGCGAACGGGUGAGUAACACGUGAGCAAUCUGCCCCUGACUCUGGGAUAAGCGCUGGAAACGGCGUCUAAUACUGGAUACGAGCUGCGAAGGCAUCUUCAGCAGCUGGAAAGAACUUCGGUCAGGGAUGAGCUCGCGGCCUAUCAGCUUGUUGGUGAGGUAACGGCUCACCAAGGCGUCGACGGGUAGCCGGCCUGAGAGGGUGACCGGCCACACUGGGACUGAGACACGGCCCAGACUCCUACGGGAGGCAGCAGUGGGGAAUAUUGCGCAAUGGGCGAAAGCCUGAUGCAGCAACGCCGCGUGAGGGACGACGGCCUUCGGGUUGUAAACCUCUUUUAGCAGGGAAGAAGCGAAAGUGACGGUACCUGCAGAAAAAGCGCCGGCUAACUACGUG